RNAcentral lists this ribosomal RNA (464 nucleotides) under uncultured bacterium. RNAcentral's name for it is "partial 16S ribosomal RNA". It matches the Rfam family "Bacterial small subunit ribosomal RNA", at positions 28 to 507 of the family's 1533-position model. The record is from RNAcentral.
GACGAACGCUGGCGGCGUGCUUAACACAUGCAAGUCGAACGGAAAGGCCCUGCUUGCAGGGUACUCGAGUGGCGAACGGGUGAGUAACACGUGGGUGAUCUGCCCUGCACUUCGGGAUAAGCCUGGGAAACUGGGUCUAAUACCGGAUAGGAGCCAUUUUUAGUGUGAUGGUUGGAAAGUUUUUUCGGUGUAGGAUGAGCUCGCGGCCUAUCAGCUUGUUGGUGGGGUAAUGGCCUACCAAGGCGGCGACGGUAGCCGGCCUGAGAGGGUGGACGGCCACAUUGGGACUGAGAUACGGCCCAGACUCCUACGGGAGGCAGCAGUGGGGAAUAUUGCACAAUGGGCGCAAGCCUGAUGCAGCGACGCCGCGUGGGGGAUGACGGCCUUCGGGUUGUAAACUCCUUUCGCUAGGGACGAAGCUUUUUGUGACGGUACCUAGAUAAGAAGCACCGGCUAACUACGUG